Melopsittacus undulatus (budgerigar) is the source of this 3102-nucleotide long non-coding RNA. The record is from Ensembl. NCBI's taxonomy places the organism in Eukaryota, Metazoa, Chordata, Aves, Psittaciformes, Psittaculidae.
AUGGGGCUCUUGCCUGGGCUGCUCAUCCAGGCUGAGCAGCAGGAGGAGCAGGAGGAAGAGGAGGAGGAGGAGGACCAGAGCCUGCUGGGAUUCAGCUGCCCUGGAUACAUGUCCAGCAGACAAACCUGGUGCCCGCAGUAGCAGAGCUGUUCCCCAGAGUCAAUGCAGAAGAUGAGUGGACCCUCUCAGGACAAUAAGUCAACUGACAUGGGAAGUAACCUGGUUGAGGAUGAGCACAAAGAGAGGGGUGUUGGUGGGAGCAGCUUCAUAGCUGGAGUCUUCCUCCAGUCCAUGAGUAAGAAGAUGAGUAUCUAUGAUGCCAUGAUAAGGGGGCUGCUGACACCUGGCACAGCCCUGGUGCUGCUGGAGGCACAGGCUGCUUCAGGGCUCCUCACUGACCCCGUGAGGAACCAGAAGCUGUCGGUGGAAGAGGCGUUGAUGGAGGGACUCAUCGGCAGUGACUUCUAUGAGAAGCUGCUGUCGGCCGAGGGAGCUGUCACCGGCUACACGGAGCCUUACACAGGUGAUCGCAUCUCCCUGUUCCAGGCCAUGCAGAAGGAGCUCAUCGUGAAGGAGCAUGCUGUCCGUCUGCUCGAGGCCCAGAUCGCCACCGGCGGCAUCAUUGACCCCAUGCACAACAACCGCAUCUCGGUGGAAGCAGCCCAUGAGUGUGGGUACCUUGACCAGGAGAUGUGUCAGUUCCUUUCUAACCCCAAGAACCAAACAAGAAGCUGCUUUGACCCCAACACCCACGAGAACCUCACCUACACACAGCUCCUGCGCCGCUGCCUGCCCGACCCGGACACGGGGCUGCUGAUGCUCCAUGUGAUGGACAAGGGCUCUGUGGUCCAUCAGCUCAGCAGAGAUGCUCGGAAAGCCCUUCAGGCCACCCGCACUACAGUCAGUGUGGGGCUGUUCCAGGGGCAGAGCAUCACCCUCUGGGAGCUGCUGUUCUCCCGGUACGUGCCCGAGCAGCAGAGAGAGGAGCUGCUGAGGAAGUACAAGUCAGGGACAGUCACCAUCCCAGAGAUGAGCACCCUCCUCACCACCAGCAUCACUGGGGCAGGAAGGAACAAUGAGCAUCUGAGCUCAUCCACAGUUACAGCCAACAACAAGGUGGGAGCAUCACACCCAUCACAACCAGCUCAGGACAUGCACUCCCAAGAGCAACAGCUGAGAAAGUCCCUCAAGUCUGCAACCGUCUAUGUCACUGCUGGUGAAUUCCAGGGGCAAAAGGUUUCCUUGCUGGAUCUGCUCUUUUCCAGACAUAUCCCACAAGGGAGGCGGCAGGAGCUGCUGGAGCUGUACAGAGCAGGGAUACUGACCACAGAACAAGUGGCCAUGGUGGUCACCACCAUCAUAAACAGAACUGCAGCUGCUAAUGCCACACUUAGGGCCGGUGCCAGAGGUCCACACAGGGCAGUGACAAAAGCAGAGGAGGAUGGAGGUGAUUCUUCAACACAAUAUGAACAACUAGAUAACACCUUGAAGUCCACCACCAUUGAUGUGCUAGCUGGUGAGCUGCAGGGGAGGCAGGUGUCUGUGUGGGACCUGCUUUUCUCUGAUUACAUCCCUGAGGAGAAAAGGCAGGAGCUGCUGGAGCUGUACCAUGACAGGCUGUUAACUCUGGAGCAGAUGAUAACUGUUGUCACCACUGUCAUCAAGAAAAAGGAAUCUACAGGCAGGAAAUUCCAUGUUGCAGCCAAGGCUUCCAACAAGGACACAGCAACAGCAGCAGAAGAGAAGGAUGGUGACUCCACCAAAGAACCAUCGGAAACAGCCUUGAAAACCACAGUCGUUGACUUGGGUGUUGGCCAGUACCGAGGCCACAAGGUCUCAGUGUGGGACUUGCUGCACUCCAAGUACAUCCCCGAGGAGAACAGGAAGGAGCUCCUGGAGCUGUACCAGGCUGGAGAGUUAACCCUUGACCAGGUGAAGAUGGUGGUGAGCACCAUAGUGUCAAAGGCAGAAGCAGCGAGGGUGAAGGAGAACAGUCCCAGGGCAGAGUCAACAGGAGCUGAACACACUGAGCUGCAGGAGGACGGGGCCUGGGAAGAGACCCUGAGGACCACCACAGUCGAGGUGUCAGCAGGUGAUUUCGAGGGGGGACAGGUCUCUGUGUGGGACCUGCUCUUCUCCAACAGCAUCCCUGAGGAGAAAAGACAGGAGCUGCUGGAGCUGUACCGCGGCAGGACACUGCCCUUGGAGCAGUUAAUAGCUGUUGUCACCACACUCAUCAAGAAAAAGGAAUCUACAGGCAGGAAAUUCCAUGUUGCAGCCAAGGCUUCCAACAAGGACACGGUGACAGCAGCAGGAGAGGAGGAUGGUGACUCCACCAAAGAAGAACCAUCGGAAACAGCCUUGAAAACCACAGUCGUUGACUUGGGUGUUGGCCAGUACCGAGGCCACAAGGUCUCAGUGUGGGACUUGCUGCACUCCAAGUACAUCCCCGAGGAGAACAGGAAGGAGCUCCUGGAGCUGUACCAGGCAGGAGAGUUAACCCUUGAUCAGGUGAAGACCGUGGUGAGCACCAUAGUGUCAAAGGCAGAAGCAGCGAGGGUGAAAGAGAACAGUCCCAGGGCAGAGUCAACGGUUGUAGGAGCUGAACACACUGAGCUGCUGGAGCUGUACCGUGCUGGGACAGUCACCAUGCAGGACCUGUUGAGCGCUGCCGGCAGCAUGGAGACAGGCAGCAAGGAAGGUCAUCUCCUAACCCUUCCCCAGCAGACAGUGGAGCUCCUGCAGUCUGAGGGCUCCUACAUCACCUAUGGGCCGCUCCAGGAGCAGAGGGUUUCCGUGUGGGACCUCCUCUCCUCCAAGCAAGUCUCCGAGUACAAGCGAGAGGCACAUCUUGACAGUUACGGUACAGGCGGACUGACGGUGAACAAGAUCACCAUCACCACGACUGUCACCACAGGCCCUCAGCUCCAGGAGAGACACUGCCAGGACCACUGACACAGCCCCAGAGGAGGCACAGGCUUCAGCCCCAAGGCUUCCUCCCAUAUAACUCAGUGAUGGGCAUGAAGAGGUGACAGGUCUGUGUGUGGACGGGGCUGACACCCAGUUAAACUUGCUGGUGUCCCAACCGCUGUGUGCCUGUGU